RNAcentral lists this ribosomal RNA (253 nucleotides) under uncultured bacterium. RNAcentral's name for it is "partial 16S ribosomal RNA". It matches the Rfam family "Bacterial small subunit ribosomal RNA", at positions 524 to 776 of the family's 1533-position model. The record is from RNAcentral.
UACGGGGGGGGCAAGCGUUGUUCGGAAUUACUGGGCGUAAAGGGUUCGUAGGUGGCCAACUCAGUCAGACGUGAAAUCCCUCAGCUUAACUGGGGAACUGCGUCCGAUACUGGAUGGCUUGAGUUUGGGAGAGGGAUGCGGAAUUCCAGGUGUAGCGGUGAAAUGCGUAGAUAUCUGGAGGAACACCGGUGGCGAAGGCGGCAUCCUGGACCAACACUGACACUGAGGAGCGAAAGCCAGGGGAGCAAACGGG